Molecule: long non-coding RNA, 362 nt
Filed under: Ananas comosus (pineapple)
Lineage: Eukaryota; Viridiplantae; Streptophyta; Magnoliopsida; Poales; Bromeliaceae
Description: long non-coding RNA (ACOM_LNC001014)
Source: RNAcentral
UUGUUAUUAAUAGUUCUGAUAUUUUAUGGUUCAGUUGGUUUAUAUUAUUCGAAUUCAUGUGAUUUUGAAUGAACUAUAGAACUCGUGGAUUUUUUGAAAAGAAAAAAAAUGAUUUUCUACCCCUCGUGGUAGCGUGUUUUAAAAAGAAAAGGUUUCCGUGUGGGAAAUAGCUUUCAAAAGAGUUUUCUCGUGGUUUUUAUGUUUAAACACUGAAUGGUAAAUAUCUGGUGAAUGGUAAAUGAAUGCUGAGUAUUGUAUAUUCAUGUAUUGUGGUUGUAUCCUGGUUAUACUCUGUUUGGACAUCUUGUACUUGUGCGACGCCGUGCAAAUACAGGGGAGACUCUGUCCGUGUGAACAGUGGA